UGGGGAUCCCGUCAAGGCGAUCAGCUCAAAGGCAGCAGGGGCUGUUCAUUACCUCGUCUCUAUUGCGUGGCGCCAAAAGAUUGCACAGUUGGACAGAAAGAAUGUGGAAUGGACUGAACAGAGGAACAAGGAAUUUCUGGCUGCUUGGAGCCCCACUGUGGUUUGCAACAGCCCCUCCAGGAUCGCAGAGCUCUUUGGAGUCUAUUUCAACCCAAGAGAGAGGACAGAUUUCAUUCUGACUGUUAUGGAUGGCCUGACGAAUCACUGCAACAAUAACUGCCAGCCAACUGCAGAGGGAUUGCUGUCUGCCAUGGUGAACAGCGGUGGGACU
Long non-coding RNA from Malaclemys terrapin pileata, 331 nucleotides. RefSeq lists it as uncharacterized. The record is from RefSeq and is a predicted model, not a curated record. The transcript is spliced from 3 exons. Lineage: Eukaryota; Metazoa; Chordata; Testudines; Emydidae.